CAUUUAAUUAAUUUAUUAUUAAUUCAAAUAAAUAUGAAAAAAUAAUUAUAAACCUUAAUAGAAUGAGUGAAACCUAAUUAAUUAAUUAUCUUAGGAAAAUUGAAGUAUUAAAAUAUAAUAAACUUAUUAAACUGCGAUUUUAUAAAAAAAAAAGAAAAAACUUUAAAAAAAACCCUUGAAAGCACAAGAAAAGCAGACUAAGGGCCGAACCUCAUUAAAACCUUUUUACGGAAAACCCAAAGGAAAAAACCGUAAAAAGGAAAAAGAGUACUCGUCUACAAGACGAAAAAGAAAGAAGGAAAGAGCGGAAGAGAAAGUUUCCGGAACUCCGGCCUAACCAUCGUCCCCAAACAAUCCUGGCUCUAACCCCA
Molecule: long non-coding RNA, 371 nt
Filed under: Salvia miltiorrhiza (redroot sage)
Lineage: Eukaryota; Viridiplantae; Streptophyta; Magnoliopsida; Lamiales; Lamiaceae
Description: long non-coding RNA (SMIL_LNC008663)
Source: RNAcentral